AGAUAUAUAGUUUAAUACAUAAAACAUUAAUUUUGUAAAUUAAAAUUAAAAUAAAAUUUUAUAUCUA
RNAcentral lists this transfer RNA (67 nucleotides) under Melanips sp. ZJUH 20220003. RNAcentral describes it as "tRNA-Thr". The record is from RNAcentral. Lineage: Eukaryota; Metazoa; Arthropoda; Insecta; Hymenoptera; Figitidae.